ACCACAAGAACAUCUAUCCUCAACUUACUAAAUCUAAGAGUACCUAAGAAGCUAAAAUAACUAAAAAGCUAGACCAUUCCAAAACUUCAAGGCAUCAAGACGUGAAGAAGAAGAUCCAGUCCAAGCUAGAAACAAUAGCUCACCCUGAAAUCUGACGUGAUGAAGACUGGCUAGAGUUGCGGUUGAGCUGAAGACGACGGUACGUUUGCUGCACUGCACAAUAACAAAGAGAAAACAUACAAGUAGGGGUCAGUACAAAACACAAGUACUGAGUAGAUAUCAUCGGCCAACUCAAAAUAGAAAGCAAUAUAUAUCAGAUAAUAUCAUAAAAUCAACUACAAUACUCAACAGGCAACAACACUAAGUACAAGAAUCAUUGAUAAAUAACGCCAAGUACACCCAUGAGGACUCAAGCCUCCAUACCAUACUCAUUUGGGAAAUAGGUUCAUUAAAUCUGAGUAUAUUAGCCUAAUUCAAGAUUCAUUCUCUUUACUAUCCUGUUGUCGGAACGUGACACCCGAUCCAUUAAUACUAUCCUGGUGUCAGAACGUGACACCCGAUCCAUUAAUACUAUCCUGGUGCCGGAACGUGACACCCGAUCCAUUAAUACUAUCCUGGUGUCGGAACGUGACACCCGAUCCACUAAUACUAUCCUGGUGUCGGAACGUGACACCCGAUCAAUUAAUACUAUCCUUGUGCCGGAACGUCACACCCGAUCCAUUAAUACUAUCCUGGUGUCGGAACGUGACACCCGAUCCACUAAUACUACCCUGGUGCCGGAACGUGACACCCGAUCCAUUAAUACUAUCCUGGUGCAGGAACGUGACACCCGAUCCACUAACCUCAUUAUUUUAGUUCAUCAAGCCUUCUUUUAUACCAAGGCAUCAUCAUUAACAAAGAGGUUUUUAAAGUUCAAGAUUCAACAGUCUCAUCAUGCUUAUUUUAUCACAAUCAUGAAAUCACAUCAUGCAAGCAUACAAUUAAGCAUAUAGAAGACUUUACAAUACUACCCAUACAUAUAAUUCGCUAUUAAGAGUUUACUAUGAAAUAGCAUAAACCAUAACCUACCUCCACCGAAGAAUUUGCGAUCAACCAAGCCAUCCCCCAAACCUUUGCUUUCCUCUUCGUUUCUCUCUUCUCUCGAUCGUUCUCCCUCUCUCUUUUUCUGAAUUUUCUUUAUUCAAACUCUUUUUUCCUUUACCCUAAUUAACAUAUAAUUAAGUAUAAAAAAUGACAAAAGUAACCCACUAAUUAUUCCAAGGUUGUCUCCUUUAACCCCCAAGAAAUUGAAUUAUUAACAUUAACCCACUAACUUUAUAAUUAUAAGCAGGAAUAGUCCAAAACGCCCCUUAAAACAUUUAACAGAAAUCCGACUCAGUCAGGGUUACGCAACCUGUGACGGUCCGUCGUGCCUGCGACGGUCCGUUCUGCUGUUUCUGUCACAAAGUUCAGAGACUAAAUUUUACUAAAGGGUCUGUGACGGUCCUUCGUGCCUACGACGGUCCAUCCUGCCAUGUCGUCGCGAAGUUCAGAGAGUUGUUCUCAGUACCCAAAUUUUUAGAAUCUAAGUGUUUUGGAACGAGACCCCCUCGACGGUCCGUCAAGCCCAUGACGGUCCGUUGUGGGAUCCGUCGACCCAGAUAGUUAUUACCAGAAUAAACUCUACUGCUCAAAAACGACUAAACAUACAAUAGAUACCAAUUUACCCAUCGUUCGUCCUCGAACGAUCACAAGAAGAAAAACAAGGGCGAAAAGGAGUACCUGAAUCUGAAAACAGGUGUGGGUAUCUUUCUUGCAUAUCAGCCUUCUUCUCCCAAGUGGACUCUUCAAUUGGUCGAUUCUUCCAAGUGGACUCUUGACCUCAACUUGCGGACUUCUCUAUCUAAAAUAGCAACAGGCUCCUCCUCAUAAGACAAAUUCUCAUCAAGAAGAACUGAAUCCCAACGAAUGAUGUAGUUUCCUUCCCCAUGGUAUCUUUUCAACAUAGACACAUGAAAUACCGGAUGCACUCCUGACAGUCCUGGGGGUAAGGCUAAUUCAUAAGCUACCUCCCCGCACGCUUCAGAACUUCAAAUGGAACAAUAUACCUCGGACUAAGCUUACCUCGCUUACCAAACCGCAUCACCCCUUUCAUGGGUGAAACCUUCAGCAAAACUUGCUCACCCUCCAUAAAUUCCAAGUCUCUAACCUUUCGAUCUGCAUAUUCUUUCUAUCUACUCUGAGCCGCUAAAAGCUUUUCUUAGAUGUAUUUCACUUUAUCUAACGAUUCCUUCAGAAGGUCAGUACCCCAAGGUCUAACCUCAAAGGCAUCAAACCACCCAAUGGGAGACCUACAUCUUCUCCCAUAUAUUGCCUCAAAUGGGGUCAUAUCAAUGCUUGAGUGAUAGCUAUUGUUGUAUGAGAACUCUGCUAAGGCUAAGAAGUUAUACCAAUGACCACCAAACUCUAUCACACAUGCACGAAGCAUAUCCUCCAAAACCUGAAUCGUUCGCUCAGACUGACCAUCGAUGUAAGGGUGAAAUGCAUUACUAAGAUCCAACCUAGUACCUAACUCGGCAUGCAAGGUUCUCCAAAACUUAGAAGUAAACUGCGUACCUCUAUCUGAUAUGAUGGAAAGAGGAACUCCAUGCAAUCGAACAAUUUCUGAGAUAUAAAGUUUGGCUAACUUGUGUGAAUUGUAAGUCACCUUGACCGGAAUGAAAUGAGCAGACUUAGUUAAUCUGUCGACGAUUACCCAAAUGGAGUCAUACUUACCCAUUGUCUUUGGAAGACCAACCACGAAGUCCAUUGCAAUUCUCUCCCACUUCCAUUCAGGAAUGAGCAUUCUCUGAAGUGUCCCUCCAGGCCUCUGGUGUUCAUACUUUACCUGCUGACAAUUCGGGCAUUGAGCGACGAAAUCAACAAUGUCACGCUUCAUCCUACUCCACCAAAAAUGUUGCUUUAGGUCACGAUACAUUUUGGUUGCACCAGGAUGUUUAGAAUACCUUGAACUAUGAGCCUCUGUAAGAAUAGUGCGAAUCAAAUCAUUGACACGGGGUACACAAACCUUUCCCUUAAUCCUCAAAACACUUUCCUCAUCGAUUUUUGCUUCUUUAGCCUCCCCUCGCAAUACCUUAUCUCGAAUCCGGAUCAGUUUCUCAUCAGUAAACUGUUUUCCCUUAAUCUUGUCAAGAAAGGAAGAUCUUGCCUCCACACAGGCCAAAAAUCCUCCCUUCUCAUUUACUUCUAGCCUCAUGAGGUCAUUAGCCAGAGUCUGAACCUCUCUAGCCAAUGGGCGUCUGGAAACCUGUAAGUGAGCUAGGCUUCCCAUGCUUCCCGCUUUUCUACUUAACGCAUCUGCCACAACGUUAGCUUUUCCCGGAUGAUACAAGAUAGUGAUAUCAUAGUCCUUCAGUAGUUCUAUCCACCUCCUCUGUCUCAAAUUCAAAUCUUUCUGAGUAAAUACAUACUGUAAACUGCGAUGAUCUGUAUAGACUUCACACUGAACCCCAUAUAAAUAAUGUCUCCAUUGCUUUAAUGCAAACACUACUGCCGCUAACUCCAAAUCAUGGGUCGGAUAAUUACGUUCAUGCACCUUUAAUUGCCUCGAAACAUAAGCAAUUACAUUCUUCUCUUGAAUUAGCACUGCACCCAAACCAGAAUAGGAUGCAUCACAGUAAACGGUGAAAUUCUUACCUUCCACUGGUAGGGUAAGAAUUGGUGCAGUGGUCAACAAAGUCUUGAACUUCUGAAAACUUUCUUCACACUCGUCCGACCAUACAAAUGGAACACUCUGCUUAGUCAAAUUUGUCAGUUGGGAAGCAACGGAAGAAAAUCCCUUGACGAAUCGACGGUAGUAGCUAGCUAAGCCAACAAAGCUCCUUACCUCUGUGACAUUAGUAGGUCUUACCCAAUUCCACUGCUUCGAUCUUAGAAGGAUCCACCAUCACUCCAUCCUUAGAAACCACAUGCCCCAAGAAAGACACUGAAUCUAGCCAAAACUCACACUUGGAGAAUUUGGCAUAAAGUUUUUUCUCCCUCAACAUUUCCAAUACAAUUCUCAAGUGUUCCUCAUGUUCUUUCCUGCUCUUUGAGUAUACCAGUAUAUCAUCGAUGAAUCCAAUGACAAAGAGAUCCAUAUAUGGCUUAAAAAUCCCGUUCAUCAAACUCAUGAAAGCAGCAGGGGAAUUCGUAAGCCCAAAAGACAUUACUAAGAACUCAUAAUGCCCAUACCUGGUCCGAAAGGCAGUCUUGGGCACAUCCGUUGCCCGUAUUUUCAAUUGGUGAUAACCAGAUCUCAAAUUGAUUUUUGAGAAGGUACAAGCACCUUGUAACUGAUCGAACAAAUCAUCGAUGCGAGGAAGAGGGUACUUGUUCUUAACAGUUACCUUAUUCAGUUGUCUGUAGUCAAUGCACAUCCAAAAACUCCCAUCCUUCUUCUUCACAAACAAAAUCGGAGCACCCCAAGGGGAUGCACUUGGUCUAAUAAAGCCUUUGCUUAACAACUCUUGAAGUUAGGCCUUUAACUCUCUUAACUCAGCGGGAGCCAUCCUAUAAGGGGGUAUGGAAAUGGGGCGAGUACCCGGCUCCAGAUCAAUACAAAAAUCAAUAUCUCUAUCCGGUGGCAUAUCAGGAAGGUCUGCAGGAAACACAUCCAGAAACUCACGGACUAUCGAACCCGACUCAAUUGAAGGUACUUGAGUAGUAUCAUCCCUAAGGUGUGCCAAGAAUGCUAAACAACCCUUACUAACCAUUCUCUUAGCACGAAGAAAGGAGAUAAUACGAACUGGAGUGGAAGUGUAGUCACCCUCCCACACUAACGGAUCUGUCCCAGGCUUGGCCAACGUUACAGUUUUAGCAUUACAAUCUAAGAUUGCAAAAUUUGGAGAAAGCCAAGUCAUACCAAGAAUUACAUCGAAGUCAACCAUUUCUAGGAUAACCAAGUCUACAUGAGUAUUGCUCCACACAAAAGUCACAAGACAAGACCUAUACACCUUUUCAAACUAUCACAGACUCACCCACCGGAGUAGAAACACGAAUAGGCAUGUCAAGCAAUUCACAAUGUAAAUCAAAACCAGUAGCAAAUGAGGAAGAUACAUAAGAAAAUUUGGAUCCAGGAUCAAACAAUACAGAAGCCAUCCAAUCACAAACCAAAAGAUUACCUGUGAUGACAACAUCAGAUGUCUCCGCUUCAGAUCUCCCAGGGAAAGCAUAACAAUGAGCCCUAUCACCUGUCUGCCCGUUGCCCCUACCAUGUUGCACUGCAGUAGUUCCAGGUUGCCCGUCACCCCGGCCGUUUUGGUGACCACCAUUACCUCAGCCACCACGUCCUCCAGAAUAGCAGCCUCUUCCAUGACCACCUCUACCUCUGACUAUUGGGGGUUUGUAACUCUAUUUUGGACAAUACCUCUUAAUAUGUCCAGUCUCCCCACAUCCAUAACACUCUCUGGAGUCAAGCAUAGGUCUCUGUGAGAACGACGGAGUCUGGGGAUAACCUCUAAACUCAGAGAAAUGUUGACCGGUCUACGGUGGACCCCCAGCUACAGCCUGCAGUGAAGACUGAAUAGGUCGGGUUGGGUAGCCUCAUGCACCCUGUCCUCUGGAGUAAGAACCAUUAAACUCACCUCCCUUACGAAACUUCUUAGUUGCUGAUGCCAUGGUGAAGUCAUCUGGUUUCACUCCCUCCACCUCUAUCACAAAGUCUACCACUUCAUGAAAGGAUUUUGCUGCAGUAGAUACCUGUAAGGCUGGAAUCUACAAAUCUGACCUCAAUCCCUUCACAAAAUGGCGAAUCCGCUCUUGUGGACUGAAGCAAAGAUGGGUGGCAUACCUAGAUAAUGCACGAAACUUAGCCUCAUAUGUAGUAACCGACAUCCUGCCUUGCUCUAGGCUAAGGAACUCAUCUCUCCUAUUCCUCAAAGUCCGGGGUAUAUACUUCUCCAUAAACAAGCUAGAGAAUGAUGCCCAAGUCAUAGGCGGUGCUUGUGCUGGUUGACACUCAACAUACGAUCGCCACCACAUUUUGGCGUUCCCUUGAAAUUGAUAGGUCACAAACUCGACGCCAAAUCGGUCUACUAUACCCAUCUUGUGUAGUUGUUCAUGACAAUCAACCAGAAAAUCAUAGGCAUCCUCAGAUUCAGCACCCUUAAAGACUGGAGGGUUCAAUUUCAAGAACUUACUGAAAAGUUCAUGCUGACCACUUGUCAUUAUAGGCCAUGUAGUCAACCGAGGAAACGUGCCUAUUUCCAAUGAGGCAUCCAUGCGGGGAGCCACAGCAGCUGCAUGUUGUACCCCCGGAACCUGAGGUGCUGGUGCAAAAAACACUGGAGGUGUCUGGCCUUGGUCAGAUAACCCGCUAAGAUAGGCAAGAACCUGAUUAAUCAUCUCUGGGGUAGGUUAGACUGGUAGUUCGUCAUCUUGCACUUGAUCAUUUUCCCCUUCCUCACCCUCUCCUGCGACCUCUACCACAGCCUCUUGCCACCGCUCCUCUUUGAGGUACAGCCCAGUGGCUGGCUCAGACGCAUCUUGUCUUACCGGUGUUAAUGUUGGCGUAGUUGUUGCUCUAGUUCUAACCAUCUGUGAAAUAGAGUGAAGAUGGUCAGAUACCAAUUUGUAUUACCUAGAUACCAAUUGGAUCCAAGUAAUAGCAUGAAAGAAAGAAAGAAUGGAAUUUUCUUAAAGUCCUAUAGCCUCUCAAAGAAAAGUAAAGGCGUCCCCCUACCGUUCUUCAAGACUCUACUAGACUCGUUCUUGUGUGAUGAGACCAACGAACCUAAUGCUCUGAUACCAAGUUUGUCAGGACCCAAAACGAGCCGCGAGUGGCACCCACACUUAUCCUACUAUGUGAGCGAACCAACCAAUCUAAACCCCAACAUUUCAACCAUAAGAAACAGAAAGUAAUGCGGAAGACUUAAAACUCAUUAACAAAACCGAUAAAUAACUUCUAAAACUCAAAACUUAUUAUUAUCCCCAAAAUCUGGAAGUCAUCACCACAAGAACAUCUAUCCUCAACUUACUAAAUCUAAGAGUAUCUAAGAAGCUAAAAUAACUAAACAGCUAGACCAUGCCAAAACUUCAAGGCAUCAAGACGUGAAGAAGAAGAUCCAGUCCAAGCUAGAAACAAUAGCUCACCCUGAAAUCUGACGUGAUGAAGACUGGCUAGAGUUGCGGUUGAGUUGAAGACAACGGUACGUUUGCUGCACUCCACAAUAACAAAGAGAAAACAUACAAGUAGGGGUCAGUACAAAACACAAGUACUGAGUAGAUAUCAUCGGCCAACUCAAAAUAGAAAGCAAUAUAUAUGAGAUAAUAUCAUAAAAUAACCUACAAUACUCAACAGGCAACAACAACAAGUACAAGAAUCAUUGAUAAAUAACGCCAAGUACACCCAUGAGGACUCAAGCCUCCAUACCAUACUCAUUUGGGAAAUAGGUUCAUUAAAUCUGAGUAUAUUAGCCUAAUUCAAGAUUCAUUCUCUUUACUAUCCUGGUGUCGGAACGUGACACCCGAUCAAUUAAUACUAUCUUGGUGUCGGAACGUGACACCCGAUCCAUUAAUACUAUCCUGGUGCCGGAACGUGACACCCGAUCCAUUAAUACUAUCCUGGUGUCGGAACGGGACACCCGAUCCACUAAUACUAUCCUGGUGUCGGAACGUGACACCCGAUCAAUUAAUACUAUCCUGGUGCCGGAACGUCACACCCGAUCCAUUAAUACUAUCCUGGUGUCGGAACAUGACACCCGAUCCACUAAUACUACCCUGGUGCCAGAACGUGACACCCGAUCCAUUAAUACUAUCCUGGUGCCGGAACAUGAAACCCGAUCCACUAACCUCAUUCUUUUAGUUCAUCAAGCCUUCUUUUAUACCAAGGCAUCAUUAUUAACAAAGAGGUUUUUAAAGUUCAAGAUUUAACAGUUUCAUCAUGCUUAUUUUAUCACAAUCAUGAAAUCACAUCAUGCAAGCAUACAAUUAAGCAUAUAGAAGACUUUACAAUACUACCUAUACAUAUCAUUCGCUAUUAAGAGUUUACUAUGAAAUAGCAUAAACCAUAACCUACCUCCACCGAAGAAUUCGUGAUCAAGCAAGCUAUCCCCUAAAACCUUUGCUUUCCUCUUCGUUUCUCUCUUCUCUCGAUCGUUCUCCCUCUCUCUUUUUCUGAUUUUUCUUUAUUCAAACUCUUUUUUCCUUUACCCUAAUUACCAUAUAAUUAAGUAUAAAAGAUGACAAAAGUAACCUACUAAUUAUUCCAAGGUUGUCUCCUUUAACCCCGAAAAAUUGAAUUAUUAACAUUAACCCACCAACUUUAUAAUUAUAAGCAGGAAUAGUCCAAAACGCCCUUUAAAACAUUUAACAGAAAUCAGACUCAAUCAGGGUUACGCAGCCUGUGACGGCCCGUCGUGCCUGUGACGGCCCGUCGUGCUUAUGACGGUCCGUCCUGCUGCUUCCGUCACAAAGUUCAGAGACUGAAUUUUACUAAAGGGUCUGUGACGGUCCGUCGUGCCUACGACGGUCCGUCCUGCCAUGUCGUCGCGAAGUUCAGAGAGUUGUUCUCAGUACCCAAAUUUUUAGAAUCUAAGUGUUUUGGAACGAGACCCCCUCGACGGUCCAUCGUGGGAUCCUCGACCCAGACAGUAAUUACCAGAAUAAACUCUACUGCUCAAAAACGACUAAACAGGUUGAUACAAAAAUGAAGGUUCAUCUUCCAGAAGAAAAUUACCACUUUUAUUCAACUAGACAAUUAGACAGAAAAUUAAAAAAUCCCAAAAAAAAUAAAGACUUAGAAUUUCUGAUAACCAAAACUAUAGAAAAACUACUUAAACAAAAAUAACAAAAAGACAAACAUAUAAACCCAAGCCCAAUACAAAGCCCAAGACAAGAUUCUACUCCAUGCCCAAAUAAUUCCGAUAAUUUUUUAGACUCAAUGCAAUUUGCCCAAGACCCAAAUUAUGAUGAUUCCGGAAUGAGUUUUGAUUCAAUUGCAUUACAUAAUUUAGACACAUAAUAUAUAUAUAUAUAUAUAUAUUAUUGUUAUAGUCUUAAAAGAGGAAUGCCUCUUUUGUCAAAAAUGUGAGUCCCACUUUACUCACUACCACACAUGUGGAAGAACUGAUAACAAAUGAUAUAGAUUAGAAAAAAGUUUACAAGAUAAGAUAGAAAAAAGUAAUAAUAUAAUGAAACAAAUACAAGACAAUGAUAGUGAAAUAUCUGAGUUAGAAUCUAUACUAAGUCAAAAGUAAUUAAUGGAAACAGCAAGUUCUAGUAGCCCAUUCCAAAGAGCAAAUGAACAAGGAUAUACUGCAGAUAAUAGUAUAGGAAAUAUACCACGUAGAAGAGUAUAUAGACAAGGAGAUACCCCAAUAACAGAAGUUAAACAUAUGGGAAAAAGAAUGCCUAUAGAAGAAUCAAUAAUACUCCAAGAAGGAGGAAGUAAGGUAAAAUUCUAAAUAUAGCAGUACAUGAUCCACAAAGAUGGAAUUCAGUAAUAGACUUAUGGAAAAGAAUAGUAGUAGCAGGCUUUAUAAAAAAUUAUACAGAGACUGAUGCUGAAACUAUGUAUAAAUACUUAGAGGCAUUCUUAGGAGAAUCAACUAAAGCCUUAUGGGAAGCUUAUAAAGUAGAAUUGUCGUCAGAAUUUUAGUAUUUAGUAUCAUUAGGACCUAAACCAUAUAAUUUUACAAAUAAAAUACAUACAUUAAUAACAGGAGAAGAACCAAAUAGUGGAUUAGUAGCCUUACAAAGAAAUGCAGUAAUAAAAUUAGAACAAUUAAGUAUAAGUAAUUAGUAUUAUAUAAAGAAAUUUUUAAACGAUUAUUUCAACUAUUGUACAACUAGUGGAAAUGCUUUUGACCAAGACUUAGGUAAAAAAUUAUUUAACAAACUACCAGGAGCUUUAGGAAGAGAAAUAGAAGAAAGAUGGACUAAAAGAGAAGGAGUAGCACAAAAUCCUCGAGCAAAAUGAUCAAUAGGACAUAGAAUACAACAUAUAAUGGAAAUAUUACAAGAAAAAUAUACUAAUUUACAAAUACAAAAACAACUAAAACAGAUUGAAAUGAACUUCUGUAAAGACAUAAUAUAUACAACCCAAAAUUAUGAUAAAGAUCAAUAUAAAAAGAAAAAGUAUAAAAAAUACAAUCCACAAAAUAACAAGAGAUAUAAUAAAAAAAGAUAUUUCCUUAGAAAAUCUUCAGCAAAGAAACCAUAUUUAAAUAGAGAUAGACAUGUUAGAAAAUAUAGAACAGAUAGAAAUUAUAAAAAUAAGUUAGAAUGUUUUACAUGUGGAAGUAUAGAACACUUAGCAAACACUUGUCCCAAAAGAUAUAAUACUAAGACUAGAAAUGCUCAAUUAGUAGAAGAAUCUAAUGAAGCAUUGUUAAAUGUAGAUGAAUAUAUGUCAGACAAUGAAAGUAUCUAUUAUAUAGUAAGUAUUGAUAUAGAAGAAAAUAACAAAGAAGAAGAAUAUUCUAAUUCAGAAGGAGAGGAAUUAAUUAAUGAAAUAGGAAUAGAAAAUUUAAAUAUAGAUGAUCUAAAAAUUAAUUUUAUGAAUAUAAUAGAAUGUGAACAUAAUUUUGAAAAAGAUACAGGAUUAGAUAGUAAUCCAUGUAACUGGUGUAAAUGGUAUCCAAGCAAACAUAAAAGAGGUAAAUGUAAUACAUGCUUUAUAGAAGGAUGUAUAAGUUGCAUAGAAACACAAUUAGGAAUAAUAACUCAGAAAAGAAUAGAAAUAUAUACAAAUGAACCGUUAAUAAAUUUAAAAGUACUAGUAUUAGAAGCAAAAGUUAAAGAAUUAGAAGAAAGAAUAGUAAGAUUAGAAAAACAAAAGAAAGUUGAACAAGAACUACAACCAGACAAUCAAGAUUUAAUGAAUGAAGAAUCUAAUACUUUAAUAUGUAAUGAAGAUAAAAAUAUAAAUACUGUUAAAAUUUUAGCAAAACUUCAAAUUGGAAAAUAUGAAAUAGAAACUUUAGCAUUAAUAGAUUCAGGAUGUACCAAAAGUAUUAUAAAUAAAAAGAUUGUACCUCUAGAAUUAAUAAAAACCUUAGAAAAACCACUUGCAGCUAUGCAAAUGGAUGAGACACAUAAUAUAUAUAGACAUUAUAUAGAUAAAGCUCAAAUAAAUUUUUUAAAUACUUGUUCAGAAUUUUAUAAACCUACCUAUAAAAUAGAUAAAAUAUGGGUAUACAUACAUACAUAUAUAUAUAUAUAUAUAUAUAUAUAUAUAUAUAUAUAUAAAUUGAAUUAUUUUAAAUUGUUUAAACUCGAGAAGCUCGCUAGUUAAUUACUAUCGAGAAGGGUCAAAAUUGGGUGUCAACAACUAUCCCUUAUUUUACUUGGAUUGAUGCAAGAAAUUCGUGGAAAAUGAAAUUAACAAAGCCAAUUUUGAUCGAUGACAUAUCUAUUUUUUUGGCCAGGGAUUUGGUACGGAGUUUAGGAAUUAUGGCAAAGCCCUGAAAAUGGGUUUCCUACAUAUCUCAUGCUAUAUGAGAAUUCAGGCCACUUGUAGUUCGAUACACUAGAUUUAAUGCACGAUUUUGAAAGUAAUCAAAGGACAUCUCGAAACUGAAUUAUGAAGGUAACAAAAUGCUCGGGAAAAAAAUUUAAGAGCGAGUGUGGGAAUACAGCCGAGUUUUUAACGUUGAGCUUGCCCACAUAUCCUUACUUCAUAAAUAAGGCUGCAUGUAGGUCGACUCCAUCAAUUGAAAAGGACAUAUAUUAUUCUAGAUAACCUUUGACUAUGGACGAGUGACGAAUUAAAUCGAGUAUGAAAAAGAGGCGUGCAACCUUAUAGCCAUGAAGUUGGAGCUCUUCAAAUCCGUAUAUAAGAAUUUGCACUGACAUAAUUUCUAAAGCUCUUGGUGCAUUGUCAUAUAGAUUGAAAGCUUGCUUCAGGCAGAUACCAAGAUUUCCGGAUACAAAAUCGACACAGACGAAAAUCAGAGAAAAACCCACAUGCCUUCUCAUAGUGGUGUGGUUUCAUUGUGGUGGAAGUAACUCCUUUGCUCGCAUCCUAAAAGUUUGACACUCCUCUUUGGACUAUGUCCUUGUUCGCUGCUAAAAAAAGGUUCCACGUUGUGUUGCAUCCUUUUUUAUGUCGUCUACACCUGUGAUUUUUUUAAAAAGAAUUCAUCCUUUUGGAUGCUCUCGACGAAGACUAAGAUAAAACUCGUCAGCAUAAAAAUGCAGUUAAAAGGGAGACGAUGUCUUUUAUCGUGUCGACACUUAAUCGUUCUCUUUGACAUUUGACGCUAACUCAAUUGGUUUGUCGUAAAGCAAAUAAAGCUUAUGUCUUGUGUUAAUCUUCAAUGUAUUCUUCCUUUGAUGUCAACAUAAAGGAAAGUUGAUGUAGUGUGAGAGUAUUUCUCUUGACGUCAUCUUCGAUGCUCUUCUUGAUGUUUACUUUUAACAAAAAAAAAGAAUGCAGUCGAUGCCGAUGCAUAAAUAUUUCUUUUGGGAUGUACGAUUUCCUCUUCUAGUAGUGCAUGAUUUCUUGCGGGGCAUGAAUAUCUUUCCGCGAUGUGUGAUUUCUUGUCGAGUAUGAGUAUCUUCUCGCGAUGCAUAAUUUAGCGAGGUAUGAAUAUCUUCUGGCGAUGCAUAAUUUCUGUGAGGUAUAAAUCUUCUUGCGAUGCAUAAUUUCUGAGAGGAAUGAAAUCUUCAACGAUGCAUAACUUUCUGCGAGGCAUGAAAUCUUCCCGCGAUACAUAGCUCUCUGCAAGGCAUGAAAUCUUUCAGCGAUGCAUAGCUCUCGCGAGACAUAAAUAUCUUCUCGUGAUGCAUGAAUAUUGACUCGCGAUGCAUGAGUAUUAACUCCCAAAGCAUGAUCUUCCGCGAUACAUGAAUAUUAAAUUGCGAUUCAUGGAUGUUGACUCGCGAUGAAUGAUCUUCCGCGUUACAUGAAUAUUAACUUGCGAUGCAUGAUCUUCUGUGAUGCAUGAAUAUCUUCCUUCCAUGCACAUACAUUAACUCUUGAUGUCAUCCUUGGACUAAAUGAAGAUAGUGUUUCAAUCGACCAACAUAAGGAUCUUUUGGGUGUUUUAUGCAUAAUCAUAUCGUCUCUAAAUAUGAUAACGGUAAAACGAGUUUUAGAUAGUAAAUUAUCUUGAUCGACAAUAUAACUGACCCCUUCGGGUAAUGCAUAGUAUUAUCUCUAAUAAUAUGUCGUAGAUAACGUCUUUGAAUCUGGCUGGACGUUCCUCAUAGACUUCAUGUUGUUGAAAUCGACUGAAAUGAAUCAUUCAUAUUCCCAAGCUCCUCAUAUCAGCAAUAUAAAAUAAUUCCUACAUCCGUAGAAAAAUCAUAGAUUUUGGGGAGCAGCUUUCUACCCCUUUGACUUCUCAUAUUAGUCAAUAAGAGAAAUUUGAUAAUUUCUAAGAAAUACUAUGAAUCUACAUCCACAGAAAAAUCGUUAAUUUUAAAAAGGACAAAUCUGGAUCGAUUUUUCAGUUAUCUGUUCCUUGUCAAUCCAUCAACAGUUGAUAUUCCCAAUCUCCUAACUCUUGAUAGAUAAAACAAAAUAUCUUAUGCCAAAACAAAUGAAACAUAAAAGAAAAAUUUGUAAGAAAAUAAAUUUUCGAGAAGUUGUUUUUGAAAAGGGUCACUGCCAAGUGUCAUGUCAUGACAGGCUUUGGUGAACUUCUUUGAGUCUGAUCCUUGGAGGUCUAUCUGAUUAUUUACUGGAGAGUAUUCAAAGUUACACUUGACUGCCGAUAAACCCUAUUUAAAUUUUGAGGCCAUCCUCAAAACUUCUGUCUUAGUUAAUUUUCUUGGCUUACCUUUAACUGUCAUUGAGUAAAUAGCAAAAUUUUUGAGAUCCUCUGGAAAAUUCUGUCCAAGUUUCAAAUCUCAAAGUAUCUUCAGUCUCGUCUCGUUUAGGAAAAUCUUCUUUUAAGAGUUUUCGAGUCCCUCUCAAAAAUUCUGUCUCGGUUUCUAUGUAAAUAGGAAUAGAAAGCUUACAGGGAGAUAUGACCGAACCCUUGUGGCCCCUACGUAUGCUGUUGAGGUAGAAAUCAGGUCAAACGUAGUUCCCCUCAAAGGAUAACAAUAAUAAGAAAUUUUACAAAGAAAUCAACCGAGGCUGACAUAGGUUGCCUCGUGUCUCAUUCUUGAGAAUUCAGGUCGAACGUAGUUCAAAUACAAAGAAAUAUUAAAAGGGAUAAAUGGGAUGACCGAGGCCAACAUAGGUCACCUACGUAUCUCAUCCUUCACAAUUCAGGUAAAACGUAGUUCAUUACAAGAGAGAUAGAAAUUUUAAACAAUGAAGAUAUAAGCAAAAUAGAAUAAUUACAAAUAAAUGACAGAAAUACAAACUGAAACUUCACACGUAGUAUCUCUUGACAGCGUCUGAGUUGAUUGGUUUCGGCCACGCGGCGCCAUCCAUCUCCGAUAGGACCAAAGCACCUCCGAAUAAUACAUUAUGAAACAUGUAAGGUCCUUUCCUAUUUGGUGAAAAUUUUCCUUUGUACUUAUCUUGAUGAGGGAAAAUGCGCUUGAGGACCAACUGACCAACUUCGAAAAUUCUAGCUCUUACUCUCUUGAGAAAAACACGAAUCAUUCUCUGUCGAUACAACUGACCAUGACAAUCGGCAAUCAUUAUCUUCUUAUCAAUCAAAGUUAGUUGAUCAAUCCGCUUGUUGACCCAUUCAACACUACUGAACUCUGCUUCCUAGAUAAUUUUCAAAGACAGUAUUGCGAUUUCAGCAAGGUAUGAAUGCUUCUGUCUCAUAUACUAGCAAUUAUGGGGUAGCUCUAAUUGAUACUGUAGUCCGAUAACCCUAAAGAGCAUAUGGAAACAUCUUGUGCAAACCUCGGUGAUUGUCAAUCAUGUUUCUCAGAAUCUUCUUGAUAUUCUUAUUGGCGGCCUCUACAGCUUCGUUUAUUUGAGGACGAUAAGAAGUUGAGUUUUGGUGAGUCAUAUUAAAUUGCUCACAUAUAUCUCUCAUUAAGUGACUGCUAAGAUUUGCACCAUUAUCAGUAAUGAGCAAUUCUAGUACUCAAACCUACAUAUAAGAUUGUUGCAAACAAAAUCAGCCACAACUUUAUUGGUUAAUGACUUUUAAGAAGCUGUUUCCACCCACUUGGUGAAAUAAUCAAUAACGACCAAAAUUAAUCUGUGUCCAUUUGAAGCGGAUGGCUCUAUCGGACCAAUGACAUCCAUACCCCAAGCUACAAAUUGCAAAGGUGAACUCACAGCAUUAAGUUCGUUGAGGUGGCACUCGGAUCAAAUAGUCGUGUAUUUGACAUUUUUGCAUAAACUUGCAACAAUCAUUCUCCAUAGUCAUCUAGAAAUACCAUACUCGAACGAUCUUUCUUGCCAAAGUGAGCCCAUUCAUAUGCGUGCCACAAACUCCAACAUGUAUCUGUUUAAUAAGUUUUGUAGCUUCGACAACCUCAACAUAUCUGACAAGAACCAAAUCUGGAGUCCUUCUAUAAAGGAUUUCUCCACUUAGAAUGAAAUUCAGAGUCAUAUGGCGUAUCGACUUCUUCUGGUUUGAUGUAGCAUCUUCAGGAUAAUUUCCGGACUCCAAAAUACUUCUUUAUAUCAAAAUGCCAUGCCAAACCAUCUGGUUCUGCUUCAACAUGUGAACAAUUGAUAGGAUGUUCUUUCAGAUAUAUAUCCAGAGGAUCAAUAUAAUCAGUAUCCGGAUGUUUAAUCAUUAAAGCGAUAAUGGCGAGAACAUCGGCUAGGAGUAUGUCUGAACUCGAUCUUACGGAACCUUUUGCACAACUUUUGUACAUACUGCACGUAAGGUAUAAUAUUUUGCGGAUUCUUCACAUCCCAUUCUCCCUUAAGCUAAUGAAUCAACAAAUCUGAGUCUCCAAUAACCAAUAACUCGUAGACAUUCAUGUCAAUGGCUAUUUUCAAGCCAAGAAUAUAAGCUUCAUAUUCAGCCAUGUUGUUUGUGCAAUUAAAUAGGAACUUGGCUACCAUGGGAUAGUGCUGACAAUAUUAUGAUACUAAGACCGCUCUGAUACCUUUCCCUUGAUGAUUUGCCUCUCCAUCAAAGAAUAGUAUUCAACCUGGAUAUGCUUUAUAAGUAUCUUCAUCCACAAAUGACAUUUCUUCAGCGUGAAAAUAAGUCUUAAGUGGUUCAUACUCUUCAUCAAUGGGAUUUUCUACAACAGGAUCAGCCAAAGAUUGUGAUUUUAUCGUCUUCUGAGUCAUAUACACAAUAUCAAACUCACUCAAUAGCAGUUUCCACUUAGCUAAUUUUCCAGUCAGCAUCGCCUUGUGGAAGAUAUACUUCAACGGGUCCGUUCUUAAAAUGAGGUAUGUAGUAUAAGAAGAGAGAUAAGGUCUCAACUUUUGGGCAAGCCAAGUCAAAGCACAACACGUUCUCUCCAACAUAAUGUAUCGAGAAUCCUAUGGAGUAAACUUCUUGCUUAUUUAAUAGAUAUAUUUUUCCUUCUUCCCUUUCUCGUCGUGUUGAAUGAGUACGCAUCCAAAUGCACUAUGAGAUAGACAAAUGCAGCAACAAAGGACUCCAUUCUCGCGGAGGAACCAAUACCGAUGGAUUUGAUCAAUAUUUCUUGAUAGCAUUGAAGGCAAUCUUACACUCUUCAGUCCAUUUUGUCGGAGUGUCUUUCUUCAAAAGCUUGAAGAUAGGCUCGCACACCACGAUUGAUUGAGUUAUGAAUCAACUGAUGUAGUUUAACCUCCAUAAGAAACUCAUCAUCUCUUUCCUCGUCUUCUGUGAAGGUAACUCUUGAAUUGCUUUGAACUUAGAAUGAUCGAGCUCAAUGCCCCUUCAGUUGAUUAUAAAUCCCAAUAACUUUCCGGCUGGAACAACAAAAGAGCAUUUGACGGGAUUUAACUUCAAGUUGUAACACCAUAAAUGGUCAAAAAACUUCUUCAAGUUCGUCAAGUGGUCCGAACUUUUGUGGGACUUGAUUGUGACAUCAUCAACAUACACUUCGAUUUCCUUAUGAAUCAUAUCAUGGAAUAUAGUCGUCAUAGCCCUCAUAUAUGUAGCACCACAUUCUUUAGGAAAAAUUGCAUCACUCAGUAAUGAUAUACACCCCUAGGUUUAAAAAAUUGUCUUUUUGUCGUCCAACAGAAUCUGAUGAUAACCUUCAUAAGAAUCCACAAAUGACUGCAUUUCAUGUUUACCACAGUUUCAAUCAGAAUGUGAAUGUUCGGCAAUGGAAAAUUAUCCUUAGGGAUGGGAUUGUUGACAUCUCUGUAGUCGACACAAAAUUUGAUCUUCCCAUCUUUUUUGGCGGAAGGAACAACAUUGGCCAACCAAGUCGGUUAUUGUGUCACUUCCAGCAAUCGAGAUUCUAUCUGCUUGGUGAUCUCUUUUUUAAUCUUUCAACUCAACUCAGGCUUGAAUUUCUGAGUUUUUUGCUUCACCGAAUUGAACCCUAGAUUAGUCAAUAAUUUGUGAGUCACCAUAUUUGUACUCAACCCUAGCAUGUCGCUGACCUCCCAAACGAACACGUCAAUGUACUCGGUGAGUAAAUGAAUAGGCCUUUUCUUUGAGCUUCAUUCAAAUGAACGCUAAUAUUGACUUCUUUUACACACUCUUGGUCUCCCAGAUUUGUAGCUUCAAAUUCCUCUAAAUUAGGCUUAUGCUGAUUUUCAAACUGUAGAAAUUCUUAAGCAACAUAUUUUGGUUCCUCACUUUCUUCUUCGUAAUCAUCAACCUCGUUAUAACCUACCUCAUUUGGUUCAUUCAGCUCGUUACAUGACACGACAUUGGUAGAUUUAAAACAUACAUUAUUGAAACCGUAAACAAACAAAGUUAGGAAAGCAAAGUAUAACAGAUGAGUAAAUAAACAAAUUUAAAAAUAAAAGAGGCUUUCAUUCAAAUUGGAAAAACGGUGCAAGCUUUGGCCAUGGCAUAGGGCCAUGUUGCCACUUUAAACAUCAUAAUGGAAAAUUGAAAAUUCAAAUAGUUAAGAAAAAUGCAAAAUGAUGGGCCUCGGGCCUCUUCUGGACUACCACCAAUUUUUAAUUAUGCAUUAUACGAUGACCUUCUACCGAGGAUUUUGGGAGAUCAGGAUGGGCGUGGAGGUCCAGUUCUGCAGCAUCUCUCCUGGCUCAGCAUCACGGAUACAAGCUAGCUCGACCUCUUUCUUAAUAACAUCAUCGAUCUCCUCGAAAAGGCCAUAGAUUCCUUCCCCAAGGUCUUCAUGCUCAACAUACUCCCGAACUGGGAAGGAUUGAUACAGAUGUGGGAUCGACUUAGUCAAUGCUUGAUCAUUUUUUCUUUUUACUUUAUGUCAUCAUCAAUGAAGAUGUACCCAAACCAUAUUUGGCUCUUUUGACGAGGAUCGGAAUAGGCUCAAUAAUUCCUUGCGAAUUUAUUCGCAAUCUGAAACCUAGUUUAAAUCCACUCUGCAAAAUCACUGUAGCAAUAAUCUUAUACACAUAAGGCAUGAGAGGUUGUGGGGCCAAGUCUUCACUAGUAGCAUUUACCAGCUCCACUGUGUAGAAAUUAGUACCAUGAGACACUUCAUCGAUAAUCAACGCCUGUCUGCCUGAAUGACUGCCUUCGCCAUGAAUGACUAGAUCUUCGUUCUUUUAAACAAGUUUCAUGAUCUGAUGCAUGGUAGAGAGAACAACUCAAACCAAGAGAAUAAAAGGCCUUCCCAGAAAAAGGUUAUAGCUGGUGACAAUAUCUAGGACUUGAAACUGUGUGUUAAAUCGGCAGGGGCCAAUUUGAUAACCUUAUUUUCGGCUCCCAAGGUAUCUCUUUGAACCCCAUCGAAGGCUCUCAUGUUGACUUGAUUUUGCUUAAGUUUUUCUAAGUCAAACUUCAACUACCUUAGCGUUGACAACGGGCAGAUGUUUAGACCAGAUCCAUCAUCUACUAAGACCCGAUUGAUAACCUUUUCAGGACAGACGAUAGUGAUAUACAGUGCCUUGUUGUGGGACUUGCCUUCAAAAGGUAACUCAUCUUCAUAAAAGCUAAUUCUAUGCCCUUAAUAACCUAGUGGAUCAUAGAGGCCACAUUAUCGCUGCUUGUGCCCGUGGGUACAUACGUAUCAUCGAGAGUCUUCAUCAAAGACUGUAUGUGCAAUUGAGAACUCAUCAGCAGCGCCCAUACAAAAAUUUGGGCUGGAGUCUUCUCAAAAUGCUUGACAAUAGAAUAAUCUUUCGGCUGCAUUCUUCUCUAGAAUUCCUCUUCGUCACCCUCGCUUAUUGGUAUUUUAGCUUGAUACUUCUUUUGACCUCCGAGAGAAAGCUCCUCAGGAAUAUAACAUGUUUUGGAUCAGGUCAUACCUUGUGCAGUAGCAGUCUCAACCACAAAUUUUUGCUUGAAAAGUGUUUUUUAUGGAACCAAGGCAACAACCUUUUCGGUUGUCAAGAUAACGAACUCUUUAUUCUCUUUGAUGCUCAAGAAAGCAACAACCUUUUCAAAAUUUUCAUGAACGAUUGGAGCUAUCACUUUCGUUCCACACCAAAUCAUAGUCUGAUUCUAUUAUACAAUCGUUGCCGCCUCCAUGAUUCGGCAAAGGAUUGGUAUUCACAUUAGGUGCAACUGGUUGGAGAGAAACCAACUCUUCGUCGAUUAAAUCUUGAAUCUUGGGCUUGAGGUGGAUACAGUCCUCAGCAUCAUGUCCAACACAGUUGGAAUGAUAAGCACAUCUCUGGUCUGACGUAUAGAAUUUUGAAUUGAUUUCCAUGGUUUUGGGCCCUACUAGGUUGAUAUAUUCGACCGCAGCAACUCGCCUGUACAACUUUGCUCUACUUUCUUCUAGCACGAUGAAAUUCCUUGAAGGUUUCUUCUCGAACCGAGGUCUAGGGGAAUCAUAACUUCCUUGUUGGGGAGGCAUCUGCUUAUAAACUCGCUAGUUGUUUUGCAUUGGAGCUUGGUAGUUCGAGUAGGGAUUUUGAUAUAGUGGAACUUGAUCUUAAUAGACAGGAAGGGGUGCUCAAUAUCCCGACUACACGUUAGAACAGUUGGGAGCAACACCGUAGUAGAGAGAUGAAAGUGAAGGAUGAUUUGGGUAAACGGGAGAUAUAUUCUGGUAAUUCGGGGGUUGACUUUUGUCUAGGGGAGAUUCGACGUUUGGAUAAGUGGAGGUAACAUUCUCAUGAAUUGGAGGAUUAUUGGGAUGACUAGUUUGCGUGUACCAAGCUUGGUAGGAAUUUUGGGAAGGUCGAGAGAGACCUUGGGAAUAUUACGAGCUUCUCGGAGUUUUCCUUCCCCCAUAUGAAACAACAACAUUUUUUUCUCUUUUUUUCUUCAACGUUCCUAAUAAUCCGAUUGAAGCAGUGACGGGCUAUCCUUCCCGUUUUCAACCCGUCUUAGAUAUUCUAACCAACUUUGACUAUCUCAGCAAAUUUUGCUCCUACAAGCAAUAUGAUUCCAUCAUAAUACUCAGCUCUUUCACCCGCACGAACACUUCAACAAAUUUAUUUUUCAGACAUUGGCGCCUCGCACCCUCGCCGCUUUUUUUCUCAAAUUAUAGGCAAACUCCCAAUAGCUCUCGGUUGAUUUUUGCUUUAUCUUUUCCAAGGAGUAUCAAACUGGAACAAUUUCUAUGUUGUAAGAGAAUCGAUCGAUAAAAUCUUUGGUCAAUGCAUUCCUACUGGGCCUUUGCCGGGUUUCAUGCGAGAUGAACCAUUUAAGAGCUUCUCCACUCAGUCUUCGGUUGAAGAGCCGCAACAAUAAAGUUUCAUCCCUUCCAACUCCCACGAGAUGGUAACAGUAGGCUCUCAAAUGAGCCUUAGGGUUGCCCACUCCCCCGAUAAUGUCAAACUUCGGGAUAUUGAACCUUUCUGGAAGGUACAAAUUUGGAUAGAUACAUCAGUCUUUAUAUCUAAUACCGGCAGCAUCAGGGAUGCAUUGGAGCUCUUUCAUGUCUUUCUUGAUCUCUUCUUUUAUGUGAACCUUUACCUCUUCAUUUGCCCUCCACUCCUUUUUCUGUUCCUCAUAAUGGUCCAGCUCAGAACCAUGCACAACGUGUUCGGCAGGAAUAGGAAUUUUGAAAGUAGUUUUUUUGGGUAAGGAUAGAGCCACAUAAGGACUCUGGGCAUUUUGAGCAGUUUGAUAAUUUUGUUGGUAAGUCUACAGAUUGGUAUUCUUAUUUAAGUGGUGAUGGGAUGUUUUGGAUUAAAAGUAUUUUGAUUUGGAUUUCGUUUUUGAUUUUGCAGUGGUGGAGCAGUUUCAUGGUGGGCAUUUUGAGGAUGGGGUGGCAUUUGGGGAUGAUUGUUUUGAGAGGAGGUGGAGUUUGGUAGGAUGCGUAAGCUUAUUGGGGAUUUUGGGUAGUCAAAUCUAUAACCGACGGGUUCUAAGCAGGUGUAAAUGGCUGGUUCUAGGACAAAUCAAUAUUUGAGGGAAGGAAGUAGAUUGGAUGUCUUCCAUCAAGAGUGUUAGCAGCAAAUCCUGGUUGAGGCGAAUCCUGUCUCGUUUGCGUUUCUACCCUCAUCUCUUCAAUCUGUUGCAUGAACUACACAAUCAACUCAUUAUGGUCCUCUAUGGUGGGUUAAGACACCACAACAUCAGUAAGACUUACUUCUUCGUUAUUAUCCCCCUUAAUAGUCUUUGCAUUAUCUAGAUUUGUCUAAGGAAGAAAUCUGUAAGACCUUUUGAUCUGGUGGAAUAGGGAUGAUCUACCAGGUAUUGAUCCACACAGAUAAGUUUCAAAGUACCUGAGAGGGAAAACAACUCAGAGGCAGAUUUGUCACUACAGAUUCAGAAUACAAAAUGCAUAAUAUCACAUAGAGAGCAUAUAAACACACAAGUUGCUUUGUUUUAGGACAUCUUCAACUCACGUGUAAGGACGGAAACACAUUAUUUAACAAGUAGGACUUUGCUUGUUUAGUUUUCACACUGUCUCAGAAAGGUUAAAUCACGUUUGAGCUACAGUCUUCUUGCAGUUGCUCUUUGACGUUCGUUGAUUUGGUCUACGUAUCUUCUCGUCACAUAAAGGGGGAGAAUGAAAAUUAUUAAAGAUAGGGUCAGUCCUGGUAAGGCUACCUACGUAUCUCACAAGGAAAAUUCAAGCCUAACGUAGUUCGAGUACAAGAUAAAAUAUUUUCAUUCAUUCAUUCAUUACGAUUACAAGGAAAAUGAAAGGCAACAGUAGAGCUUUUAAACAAUAAAAUGAUGACGUCACAUUCAUCAUUUCCAUUCUUGUUGCAGCAUUAGUCUCAUCCUUCCGUACGUCCUAGGAAUGGAGGCCUGUAGACGAUUUCCUUGUUGUCGUCAUCCCCAGUCACUUCAGGGUGAGCAUUAUCGGGACCACUAUUAGCCCCUUAAUCAUAAACGGGGUAAUUUUCGCGCAUUUUCUGAAGUUCAUCAAUCAUGUUGCUAUGGAAGGCUUUGUUCUUCUUCCUCAGUACAACCAUCCAUUCUCUCAUAGAGAUGAGUUAUUCCAUUUCCAUUGUCAGCUCUUCAUGAAGUAACAUGCUGUUAGCUAACAGAGAGGCGGUCUUCGAUUCUAUCCUCGCCUCUCUCACUUCUAUUACCUGCACUUUCACCCGAAACUUGUCCAACUUCUCUCGCAAGUCUUUUGUGUCCAUCUCAACAUCUUUCUUUCUCUUCAUCUCUGAUGUCAGAUCCUCAUCCAGAGUCACAGUUGCAGCUUUGUAAAUUGCGGUGGCCAUGUAGAUUCUGAGCCCUUCCUCCUUUGCUUCUUAAUUUUUGAAGUGAUCCGUUCAAUCUUUCUUUGUAGCUCUUCUCCAGUGAGUUCCAUCUGGAUGUUCUUACCUUUGUCCAUUGCAGUGAUUUUUCCUUUCCUGAGAUGGUAGAGUAGUGUUUUAAGAUUUGAGGUAUAGGAUGUGUCUUUUGAGUGUGAAACUUGAGACUCAGAAAUUUUGACCGAACAUUUUGUAACGACGACUUGUUUGUAUAUAUAAUCUGAAAGUUUCUGGAAAUGAGUGGGUUUACGAUAUCAUCAUUAAUAGCAACAUAACACAUAAGUAGUUAAACACAUAUAUCAUGUCCUAACACAUAUAGAGGGACACUUUUGUGCCAAGGGUAGGCCUAGCACAUUUGAAUAAUGUACGCGUGAAUUGAACAAAAUAAACAAUCUCCCCUUCCAAAAUGAAUUUCACAAGUUAAUAAUGUUCAUAGAGGGGAAAAUAAUGGAUAAUACAUUAAAGAAAAACCCACGUGGGGGACAUUUAAAAGUGCAUUAAAGGCAGGCCCACGCAGGGGCUAAAAUGACAAAUACAUAUUGAAAAACCAACAUAGGGAAGAAAUCCACUAUAUCUCUCCAGAUGGUCCUGCUUCGUCGUCGUCCCCCGCAGUAUUGUAUUACUGAAACAUAUAUCAUAGCAUCAGCAGGAAUCCUUCACCUAAGCGUCAUUUUUCUUCCAAGCUUUCGUAUCGCAUCCUCUUGAUUUUCUUCUUGACCCAAGCAUCGAAAUUGUCAUAACCACGCCAUAGUCUUUCCACCUCUUGAGUCACCUUCUCUAGAGUGUCUUGGUUCUCAAAAAACUUAGCGUACACUUCUUGGGCCUCUUUCUUUAUCUCUUGUAGCUGGGCCAUUGCUUCGGCUUUUCUGUCUGUUACGCUGCAAAAGUUGCACGGUUUUAGGGAGAAGAUGCUUUGUAUGUCCUUCUUCAGACAUUCUUUGUAACCAUUGUGAUACCCAGCAUUGAAUCGGUAAGGGGCGAUGUUGUUUUUGUCCAUACGCUUGGCACUUUUCCAUUCUCUAAAUGUUUCGGACGCGUCUUGCACUCUAUCGUCUCCAAAUUCAUAUGCAUAACCACCAUAGUACGCCUCUUUGGGUACAAUUUGUCUCCUCCUGAACUUUCAUAAGACUUGAAAGAGUGCAUAAGGGAGCAUUCUCUGAAUAACUGGUAGAGGAAGCACAAUAUUUAUGCGGCUUUCCACGACAACUUCUUUGGAAAUGAAACGGUUCAGCAUCCAUUAGAGAUCUUCUUCUCUCGAUUUGGAGAAAAUUUGAGCCCAUCUUCCCCUAGUUCUCCGAUUGUCCAUAUUUGCCCAGUACAAUAUGUCAUUCAAAUCAAUAAGGGUGUUUUUGUUGUCAAGAGUAUGCAGCUCCCGAGUCCCAGCACCUUUUGCUAAAUGGCUGAAGAUCCACCACUUAAGGAGCAAGUUGCAUUCUUGGAAGUAUCGAUACCCCUCUUUGCAUUUUCCGAGGGUUCGAUACAUAUCGAAAAAGAUGACUGGAGCUUUAGGGUAGUACUUUGUUAUACCUUGGUUCUCAUACUCUUUGAACAAAGUAUGCGUGAGUGUUAUAACUCGGGUAUUGAUACUCAAACUUGGACCAUGUGGAAAUACCAUUGUACCCAAUAACGCUACAACAAAUGCUAAUGGACGAAUUUCAUUCCAUUUAUUGUAGGAAAUCUUGAACUCUCAGUUGUAAGUGGCGUAGAAGGUUAAAUGUUCGUGUCAUAUACAAUGAUCCCUGAAUGCUGCGUGGGAUUCUUGGCACUAGUAGGCAAAGUCUUUUCCCAACCCGAACCAGUCAACAAUAUUUUCUAUAGAAGACUUAUUAGGGAUAAAGAUAUCUUCUUGUUUUCUUGAAGUCCUUUCUAUCUCAGUACCUACUAUGUCUACACAGUCUCUGAUCUCCUCCAAAUUUGGGGUAAUUUCGGCAGUUCGAAUUGAAACACCAAUCCUUUUCUAUCCCAAUAUCUUAGACUAAACAAUAAUAAAUAAAAAUAAAAACAGAAAAUAAAAAGGCGACAAGGGCUUAGGCCCAAAAUAAGUACAAUAUGAUGAUUAAAAUAAAUUUUGGGCUAUUUUGCCCCAAUCCAUUCAAUUUUUCCGACUUGAUUCGGAUCCUUCAUCCUUGGACCUAUUCUGUGAUUCUACAGGGUUGAAUCAAUGGAGAUUUUUGGGCUUUUAAGUCUCUCUCUCUUGAGAUGCAAAGGGAAGUGAGAGUUUAUAUCAAACUCGCACAGAUUUUUGCAUGAAACAAAAUAAUGAUAGGGAUUAGUGCUCCACGAUUUUUAAGUAAAGCAUCAAAAGACUGUAAAUUAGUCCAAAAGAAAAUCAAAGAUGCCAACGAAAACUACUUUGGUGAAUAGAUAAACAAUUUUGCCGGAAUCACGAAAAAUAAAACCAACAAAUUGAAUGUGCUCUUUGAAAUAAAGUGUCACAUGGGAAAUUUUGAAGCAAUCAAUACCAUAGCAAAUUAUUUGAACUGAGAUAAACAUGUCGUGAGUCAACAUCAAAUAAAGAUAAUAAUAAUAAUAAAUAAAUAAACUAUGGGCCCGUUUGGAUGGGCUUAAUAAAAACAGCUUUAAAAAAGUACUUUUGAAAGUGCUGAAACUUAUUUUUAAAAUAAGUAGUUAUGCGUUUGGAUAAAAGUGCUGAAGUUAAAAAAAAAUUGUUGAUGUGUUUGGCAAAUAAGUGUUGAUAAACAACUUUUUCAUUCAUUAGUAAUAGUAAUUGUCUAUCAUCCACACGUGAAAAGGGAAAAAUAGAAGAAAGAGAUGUUAGGAUUAUGUGGAUAAUUUGGAAAUUGUAUAAAAUAUUAAGGAUAAAAAGGUAAAAAUGUGAUCAACUUAAAACAGUUUAUAAUCUGGAAAAAAAAGCACCCCUACCCCAGCUUUUAACUUUUAGAUUAAAAUAAGUUUUUUUCAACUUAAAAUAAGUUAUUUUGAGGAUUGUCAAACAACUAAAUAAGUCAAAAAUCAGUUUUUAAGUCAGUUUGACCAGCUUUUAAGCUGAGCCAAACAAGCUCUAUGACAUAUGAUAAAUGGGCACACUUAGCCAUUCAUGGUAAACUGUGCUCUGCAAUAAAGAAAUGCUAUAAACUAAAGGAAUAAAGCAGCUUAGCAUAUUUUGACUAGCAAAUAACAAUACUGCAGAGAAAGGAUUUAUACCCAGCUAUUCACUUAUACCGAUAUGCACAUCUUAUCAUAUUAGCUGGAAUAAAAAUAAUAUAAUCAAGUCAUUUUGUAUCACACAUCAUUAUUAUAUUUCAUGUUUUAUUUGUUUCUUUUUUUUAAAAAAAGCACAUAAGGGUUGGAGACAAGCAUGAAUAGGCUACAGGAAAUCCUCGAGCCAUUUUACAGUUUUAGCCAUCAAAACAUACCAAACUAUGCUUUAUUCAUCUUUUUAUUACGAGAUAUACAGAGACUAUACAUCCACCAGAAAUCAGAAACGCCACGAAAAAGGAUUUCAAACUUCAGGACUGAAUAACAGCUUUAUUUGAUCACACAAAAACCCAUAUUUGCUGAAAAUUCAGACAUAUAGAAACAAACACUAGGCAGGCAAGAGAAGAUAUUGAUAUGGUCGAAAUGAUAUACCACGAACUUAAAACAAAAAAUAAGCAAUAUCUAAGAAACUCGAGAUAUCAAUGUCUUGCUUCAACCUUCCAACCUAGUAUAAGAACUAAGAAAGAUGACUUUCGACAUUCAAUCCCUAUAACAAAUUUGUGAUUGACGAAGACAAACUAAAACCUAGUAUGACACUUCCAAAUUCAAUCCCAUAUAAUAAAAAAAAGGGCAACAACAAUUUUCCUUUUAUCCCUCCAGAGACUCAACCAUAUGUUCAAGUCACAACAAAAACUCAACUCAUAAAACAUUUAGAGACAAGUGAAAAAGGUGCACCAAUUUACGUUAACAUUCGCAUACAUUUAACACACACAAACUCAUAUAACCAAACAUCUAACAGUGACACGUUAAGAGUAAAAAUUCUUGAACCAAAUAAACAAUGGAAAACACAUAACGACGAAAUGGAAAUUUUAAGUAUCGGAUUCCCAAAACCAAACAAAUAUGACAAGAUAGAAAAGGGCAGCCACAACUUAAUCUCAAAUAAAGAUACAAUUUUAAUCUCAAAGGGGUAUAUAAUACAAUAACCAAUUUCCAUAUGAGACGUUUGAGAAAUCAUCUUCAUUUGAAGAAAACGCAGCAAACAACAUCAACACUAACGAAAUGAGUGCUCAUUUUUAUAUUUUAAGACAACUAAAACAGGAAAUACAGAUUCAAACUUCCAAAACAAGUACGAAAAAAGGACGAUGAAAGAAACUCGAAACAGAGGAAAUCAACUACGAUGAGAUCGCUUUAAGAAGUAUGCAAUAUAUCAAAUGUUUUUCUGUUACAAAUAACAACAAUACCACGAUACGGUAAUAGGUCUAUCAAAAAAUGGCAAAAUACGAAGAGAACACUGUACACAAGUUUGCAGAAGAACCUUAAAAUAUACAUCAAUAAUGUCACAAAAAAGAAGGAAUAACAGCGUACAACUGGAGCAAAGAACUUCUUUAUGAUAAAAUUACGAAAUGCUAAAACAUUAAAACAAAAUGGCAAAAGACUUCAUGGAUAGCACCCAUACAGUAAGCAAAUAACACAUGAUUUAGACAUACAUGACAAUAAACUCUUUAAUGAUCAUUAUAGCAGUAGGAAAUAAAAGGGAACACAAAGAAGUCAAAAAAUAGAACAUAAUUAGUGGUUUACCUUUUGAUGCAACAAAAAGAGACAACGAUGAGCGCCAAAGAAAGAAGCGAGUUCCACACAAACGGAACAACCAAUGGUGAAAAGAAGACCCAAGUUCGAGCAAAGUAUCUACUCCAAUUCUGAAAUCGAGUGAGCCAUUUCAAGAGUAUUUCUAUGGAUUUCAAUCAAGUAAACUUGUUCUUAAUAUAUUAAGUAGCUUUCGGAAAGUUCCUCCUCUUCUUGUAUGGGAUUUCGGCUGGUCUUCUUUCUCGAGAAAAUUUUCUCUCAAAAAAAAAUUUCCUUUACUAAACAAACUCUCUGUUUCUUUCUCAAAAACUAAUAUCUUCAACUUCACCCCCCAAAAAAAAACUCCCAGAACAAAAAAAAAAGAGAAGAGAAUUAUAUAUGGGAGGGUAAGGGUUCAAAACGAAGUGAGAAAAGGGCCCCCACCCCUUUUCAGGCCCACAAAAAUUUGAAUUUUCAAAGCUUCAAAUCCUAUCAAAAGAUCGAAUAUUCCUUCAAUUCUAAAAUUUUGACCGAAUUCCCAGCGAGGUGGAGGGACAAGAUUUAUUCUUUGUACUGGGCAGGCGAUGUGGAGUUAUCUCGCUUUUGCAAAGAUGAAAGUGUCUCGCAUUGCUGCUGAAAAAUCGUACGAGUGAGGGAAACGUUGAGGAAAUAAGAGAAAGUUUGCAGUUUACGCUCACUGCUCCUCUCUGCUUUUGCUUUCUAUGUGAAUUCCGUCAAUUUGGGAACGUUGGAGGGUUGUCAUUUGCUCCUAUGGCUGAUGUCGUUUGGAGAAGCUAUGAAGACGCUGUGUAUCACCGCUUGAAGGAGAUGUUUGGG
This 28123-nucleotide long non-coding RNA is filed under the name Solanum lycopersicum (tomato). RNAcentral's name for it is "long non-coding RNA (SLYC_LNC000204)". The record is from RNAcentral. Lineage: Eukaryota; Viridiplantae; Streptophyta; Magnoliopsida; Solanales; Solanaceae.